CUUGACAAUGCUGGGAAUAAGUAUGAGUAAAAAUUAACAGGACAGCAUUUGUGUACUAUGGGAGUGACAGAGAAGUAAAGAAGCAAAAAAGUCCAACUGUAAGGUGUAUGGGAUGCCUUCUAAAGCAGGCAGAGCACAUGACGCUUUUCAACACUCUUUUCGAUACUGAUUUGGCAUUCAGGGUCUAUCAAAGGAGAAAUCUUUCACAUGCAAUUAUGACAGAAAAUAAAGGUGAUGAAGUGUUGUAUACAAAGAAUGGAGAGAGAUCAAAGGACUGUAAUGAAAACUGAUUACAAUAAAAGAGCUGCUUCAACCCUGAGAACUCUACAGAACUGCUUGGGGCAUGACAACACACACACUUGCAUGCACAAAGAAGUUGCAGAUAAAAUCACAGGCACUAAUUCAUAGGAAUAAAUGAAGAAAACAAUACAUAGCUAUUUGCUUGGAUGUUUUUUAACAUUAAGGCACUAAAAUGACAUGAAGACAUGGGUCUAAUUUGGAAGAUUUUGAUUUCAUACUUCUGUAAAGGCUUCUUUAUUCAACUAUUGGACAUAAUGUGAAAGUUUUUUAAAUUUAUAACUUCUCUUCUGAUAAGAUUGCUUAUAGGAUAGAGGAAUGUUUUCAAUUCUUCUAUUGUUUUCUUGAAUAAUCUCCUCAGGGUCACAUACAGAAUAAGUCACUUAUCUAAGUUUAAAUAUUAGCAAGGAGACUGUUUAGUACUGUUAGUUGCAUAGCGAUGAAGAAAUUGAUCAAGUUUAACCCUCUAUCCUUUUGACUCCUGUUCUGAUUUGGACUAUUCAAAUGAAUUUUCAUUCACUUUGAAGUUUCUUUCCCAGAUUCCACAGUUGAGUACUGCAACCAUUUAUUGGGCAGUUUCAG
This is a long non-coding RNA of Gallus gallus (chicken), 879 nucleotides long. Lineage: Eukaryota; Metazoa; Chordata; Aves; Galliformes; Phasianidae. The record is from Ensembl.